This 58-nucleotide transfer RNA is filed under the name Flustra foliacea (greater hornwrack). Its description in RNAcentral is "tRNA-Trp". Lineage: Eukaryota; Metazoa; Bryozoa; Gymnolaemata; Cheilostomatida; Flustridae. The record is from RNAcentral.
AGGUUUACUAUCAAAUAGUUUGCUGUUCAAUAGCAAGGAUGCAUUUAAUGCCAACCUU